This 435-nucleotide ribosomal RNA is filed under the name uncultured Pseudoflavonifractor sp. RNAcentral's name for it is "partial 16S ribosomal RNA". It matches the Rfam family "Bacterial small subunit ribosomal RNA", at positions 341 to 792 of the family's 1533-position model. The record is from RNAcentral. Lineage: Bacteria; Bacillati; Bacillota; Clostridia; Eubacteriales; Oscillospiraceae.
ACGGGAGGCAGCAGUGGGGAAUAUUGGGCAAUGGGCGAAAGCCUGACCCAGCGACGCCGCAUGAGGGAAGAAGGUCUUCGGAUUGUAAACCUCUUUCAGCAGGGAAGAAGCAUGACGGUACCUGCAGAAGAAGUCACGGCUAACUACGUGCCAGCAGCCGCGGUAAUACGUAGGUGGCGAGCGUUAUCCGGAAUUACUGGGUGUAAAGGGUGUGUAGGCGGGGAAGCAAGUCAGGCGUGAAAUACACGGGCUCAACCCGUGAACUGCGCUUGAAACUGUUUUUCUUGAGAGUGGGAGAGGUAAACGGAAUUCCUGGUGUAGUAGUGAAAUGCGUAGAUAUCAGGAGGAACACCGGUGGCGAAGGCGGUUUACUGGACCACAACUGACGCUGAGACACGAAAGCGUGGGGAGCAAACAGGAUUAGAUACCCUGGUA